UGGAUCGAUGAUGACCGCUGGUGGAGUAUGAGUCAUGGAUGAUGACUACUUCAUUCUGGAAUCUGAGGUCCAA
Molecule: small nucleolar RNA, 73 nt
Organism: Balaenoptera musculus (blue whale)
Lineage: Eukaryota; Metazoa; Chordata; Mammalia; Artiodactyla; Balaenopteridae
Source: Ensembl